Odoribacter splanchnicus DSM 20712 is the source of this 74-nucleotide transfer RNA. It matches the Rfam family "tRNA". From Rfam's summary of the family: Transfer RNA (tRNA) molecules are approximately 80 nucleotides in length. Their secondary structure includes four short double-helical elements and three loops (D, anti-codon, and T loops). Further hydrogen bonds mediate the characteristic L-shaped molecular structure. tRNAs have two regions of fundamental functional importance: the anti-codon, which is responsible for specific mRNA codon recognition, and the 3' end, to which the tRNAs corresponding amino acid is attached (by aminoacyl-tRNA synthetases). tRNAs cope with the degeneracy of the genetic code in two manners: having more than one tRNA (with a specific anti-codon) for a particular amino acid; and 'wobble' base-pairing, i.e. permitting non-standard base-pairing at the 3rd anti-codon position. NCBI's taxonomy places the organism in Bacteria, Pseudomonadati, Bacteroidota, Bacteroidia, Bacteroidales, Odoribacteraceae. The record is from Rfam.
GGGGGAUUAGCUCAGUUGGCUAGAGCGCCUGCUUUGCACGCAGGAGGUCAAGGGUUCGACUCCCUUAUUCUCCA